GCAGUCAAGGGGAAAGUUUUGCUUCGGCGAGAUGAGUAUACUGGCGGACGGGUGAGUAACGCGUAGGCAACCUACCCAUAAGAGAGGGAGAACCCAGCGAAAGUUGGACUAAUACCUUAUAAUACUAUUAUGUUGCAUGACAGAAUAGUCAAAGGGUGCCAAUUUAUUGGUAUUGCUUAUGGAUGGGCCUGCGUUCCAUUACUUAGUUGGUAAGGUAACGGCUUACCAAGGCAACGAUGGAUAGCUGGUUUGAGAGAGCGAUCAGCCACACUGGAACUGAGAUACGGCCCAGACUCCUACGGGAGGCAGCAGUGAGGAAUAUUGCGCAAUGGGCGAAAGCCUGACGCAGCAACGCCGCGUGGGGGAUGAAGCUUUAUGGAGUGUAAACCCCUGUAAGCAGGGACGAAAGUUACCUAUACGAACAGGAUGGGUAUUUGACGGUACCUGCACAGGAAGCUCCGGCUAACUCCGUGCCAUCAGCCGCGGUAAUACGGGGGGAGCAAGCGUUGUCCGGAAUUACUGGGCGUAAAGGGCGUGUAGGCGGUAUUGUAAGUCAAAUGUAAAAGGCUACGGCUUAACCGUAUAUUGUCAUUUGAAACUACACUACUUGAGUGCGAGAGAGGGUAUGGGAAUUCCCAGUGUAUCGGUGAAAUGCGUAUAUAUUGCGAACAACACCAGUAGCGAAGGCGGCUACCUGCCUCGACACUGACGCUAAUGCGCGAAAGCGUGUG
Molecule: ribosomal RNA, 731 nt
Filed under: uncultured Deferribacteres bacterium
Lineage: Bacteria; Pseudomonadati; Deferribacterota; Deferribacteres
Description: bacterial SSU rRNA
Rfam family: Bacterial small subunit ribosomal RNA
Source: RNAcentral